UUUGAUUCUGGUUUAAGGUCUUUGUUGUAUUGUUAAUUUAUCACAUGAAAAUUGUUUAUAAUAAGAGAGAGCAGAAUUAAUUUUAUAUUAAUUUUUAUAAAAAUAUAAUUAAUAUAAUAAUAAUUAUUUAUAAUCUCAGUGUAAGAAUUUAGUAAAUAUAUGAGAGUAUGAAUUAGUGAGUAAUAAAAGUGUAUAAACCUGAUAAAAUAUUUGUGCCAGCAUUCGCGGUUAGACUUUGAGGUUAAAUAAAGAAAAUUAAAUAUAAAAGUUACUUAUAUAAAUAAAUAUAGAUAUUAUUUCCUAAUAUUAGCAGGUGAAAUUGUUGUUAUUUUGUAAAAUUUGGAAUAUUUUUAAGGAAGCUAAUAAGCUUUAAGGAUAAACUAGGAUUAGAUACCCUAUUAUAUUAAGGUUGAAUAAUUAAAAUAUUGAAUUAUUAGUAGGUUAUAAUUUAAAAUUUAAAGAAUUUGGCGGUAGUUUAGUCUUGUCAGAGGAACCUGUUUGAAUUGAUCGAUAUACCUCGUAAUAUCUUACUUAUUUUCAGUUUGUAUACCAUCAUUAUUAGAUAAUUUUUAAAAAAUAAAUUAUUAAAAUUAAGUAGUUAAAAAAAUUAGAUCAAGGUGCAGCUUAUAAAUAAGUUUAAAUGGGUUACAAUAAAUUUUAUUUAGAUGGAAAAGAUCAGUAAGUUGGAUUUAGGAAGGAGGAUUUGAUAGUAAUAUAAGUAUAAUAAGCUUAUAAGAUAAGAGCUCUAAAUUAUGUACAUAUUGCCCGUCGCUUUCAUUAAUUAAUGAGAUAAGUCGUAACAUAGUAGAUGUACUGGAAAGUGUAUCUAGAAUUAU
RNAcentral lists this non-coding RNA (836 nucleotides) under Longpotamon exiguum. The record is from RNAcentral. Lineage: Eukaryota; Metazoa; Arthropoda; Malacostraca; Decapoda; Potamidae.